RNAcentral lists this small RNA (363 nucleotides) under Arabidopsis thaliana (thale cress). Its description in RNAcentral is "ATSL058650". The record is from RNAcentral. Lineage: Eukaryota; Viridiplantae; Streptophyta; Magnoliopsida; Brassicales; Brassicaceae.
UAUCACUCAGGUAAUAGCGAACCAAAUAUCUCGAAGAUCAUGACCGAAGAGAAAGGAUAGUUCAGAGUUCAAAAGCCCAACAAGGCUUUUUACCAAUUGAAGUUGCAUGUUUUUCUCCAAAAUUUUGUUCCGAGAAGCGUUGUUGUGGUUCAUCCGUCUUAAGCCAGACUUGACCAACAAAUUCAGUGAGCUAUCCGCAAUUUCUCUCAAGCAGUACUAUCCAUAUGGAUAAACUCAUAAAAGUACCUUCGAUGAAGAUCUUUUAAACAAGACACAAAACCAAUUUUAGAUAACUCGAUAUUGUCCUCUCUUUAACAAUCAAUAUAAUCCCGAUAAUAAUAAAUGUUCGAAACAGAAAAAAAA